RNAcentral lists this ribosomal RNA (226 nucleotides) under uncultured bacterium. RNAcentral describes it as "partial 16S ribosomal RNA". It matches the Rfam family "Bacterial small subunit ribosomal RNA", at positions 99 to 334 of the family's 1533-position model. The record is from RNAcentral.
CGGACGGGUGAGGAACACGUGGGUUAUCUACCUUGAGGUGAGGAAUACCGGCGAGAAAUCGCCGACAAUACCGCAUACCCUUUGCAAAAAGGAAAGCCUCGCAAGAGGCGCCACAAGAUGAGCCUGCGGCCGAUUAGCUGGUUGGUGGGGUAACGGCCUACCAAGGCGACGAUCGGUAGCUGGUCUGAGAGGACGAUCAGCCACACUGGGAUUGAGAACGGCCCAG